CAAUCAGUCACCAAGGGUACAUUAUCAAAGGUACAAAGACGUAUAAAAGGCAGGAUUGUAAUAGUCAUUUUGUAUAGCCAGGGAUAAAGCCGAUAUUAUAUUAAUAUAUAAUAUAUAAUAGAUGGCUAAUGCCAUCAUGUGGAACGAUUAUAAACAAGCGAUUUUCAUCACAAUAACUAUUAUCGAAAAAUGGCAGUUGUUCCUUGGCACUGAUGUUCGUUUUGUAUAUUGAAAAAUACAACUGAUAACCACUUAGUAGCAGGGGUGCGAUAAUCACUAGCAUGCACAAAAUGAUUAAUUAUCGACCGGUGCUAAUAAAUAAUCAACGUUGUAAAUCAAAAUUGCUAGUCGUGGAAGGACGUGAUAUAUGUGGGAAUAAAAAAGGGGUGGAAAUUAAUGGUGAAAUGAAAUCGUUAACUUAGAUAGACAAUAUUUUACAGUUAUUUUGACUAAUAACUACACUACUGAAUCAACUUUGAUGAAAAUGAAUGUUUUGAGAUAGGUACAUACCUCUUCGCUCAGUAACCACUUGAAACUAGCGUUGUAGUGCUACGCACUGCGGCAUUAUGCUGAGUGGAAGCCCUUUUUGGCAUUAUUACCAAAUUAAUUUAUACGCUGUCCAAAUUUGUAAUUUGCUGGUUUAAUGUGCCAAAUAAAUAUACCUAUAUUAUUUCAUCUUACGAAUAAAGAAGUCAAUUAAAUUAAGUCAAAUCUAAUCAAAUAUUUUAUUUAGCAGAACCAAUGUCAGGAUAAUACGGGUGUCCAGUAUCUGAGUCAGUUUCAAUAAUAAUGUUCUACCGCGGAUGGUACCGUUAGACAUAUUAUAAUAUACAGACAAACUAUACAGACAUUCGUACACUUAGCCUAAUAAAACAAAAAUAUAUACCUAUCCUAUGUGAAUAUUAUGUUGCUAUGCCAAUAAUACAAUAUUACAUUAUAACGAAAAAAAGAUUGCUGUUCAUUUAAUUUUUCCCUGCUAAAAUUUGAGAACGGCUGCACCGAUUUGGAUGCUUUUGGUUUUGAUAUGUUUGACAUAGUUUAGUGACGCCUUAAAUGGGAAAACAAUAUGGAUCUAGAACCAGUGAUGAUUCGAUGAAAAUCGAAGCGCACUCGGUGCCGGUGGUGGUUUGGGAAACCAAUCACUACCAAAAUGGUUAUAAAACCUGUAAUGUUUGAUGAAAAUUGAAAGGCACGCGGUGCCGGUGGUCGUUUGGAAAAUCAAACGCUACCAAAAUGAUAUUACAUAAUAUAUACAUACAAUAUAAUAUACAGCGUGACAGAUCAUUUUAGUUUCGAAAGGAAUGGACAUUUAUAACUUCAAGUCUCAUACAUCAUAAUUAUGUCUAAAAAAAAUGCAUAUAACAACGAUAGGAAUUCAUUAACUCGGUAGCAUACAAAUAAUGAACGUUGAAAAUAAUUGUGUAAUUAUUCAACAGCGUUGUUAUUCACUCGUAAGUGUCAUUUAUUGAGAAAUUCAACAACAUAUUGAAGCCUUGUCAGCAAGCCUGUCAGUGAGACAGUAGCUUCACAGUUCAUAUUUCAUGGCAAAAUAAAGACAAGUCUAUGAAAAAGUGUGAGUGAUGUGCCUGCCUACACAUUUCAGAUUAACUACAUAAGAUUAACCUGUGGGAGUAGUGAACGCACUAUAUUUUGUGCCACAAACUGUAUAAAGGUAAAUGAUGAAUAUAUAAAAUACUAGUAAAGCCUUUAAAAGCGGCCCACAGAGGUGACUGAGUUUCUUGCGCUGCUUCUUCUCAGCACUGGCCCACUUACUGUUCCGAAGCAGUGGUAGAUGAAACUUUAUUUUUAUUGUAUUUUAAUUAGAUCAGCUGAGCUAGGAUGCGCACCCUGAUGGAAUCUUUCCAUGAUUUUAGACAACAGACGUAUGGGCUUAUCAUUCAAAGUUUAUAAAAAGUUUAUCAUGGCGCGCAUCCUAGGCCUACACUAAGGAAAUUAAAAUUGUAAGAAAAAUAAUUGACAUAUUAAUUUGAGAUACCUACCUAUCUUGUGGGAAAUUCGUAAUGUAAUAAGUGGACACACCUACUAUUUAUUAACUUAUUUGAGGUCAAAUAAUAAUGUGUUGUGAUGCUUGAGUCUAAUAUUUUAUUUGAUAAAUUGGCUAUUUUGUCCAAAAAUGGUUGAAUAUUAAUUUGACCUUUUGAUUUGUUUCAAUCUAAUUGAAAGGAAGAUGUGUAACGUGUCAGGAAAUUGAAUAAGCAAAAUAUUUAUGUGUAAUUUGUAAGCUCAUAGAAAGUACUUACUAAUUAAGUAUUACAGAUCAUUAAUGGGCUAUUGUCCAAAGAUGGUUGAAUAUUUUGACCUUUUGACUUGUUUCAAUUUAAUUGAAAGGAAGAUGAGUAACGUGUCAGGAAAUUGAAUAAGCAAAAUAUUUGUGUAUAAUUUGCAAGCUUAUAGAAAGUACCUACUUACUAGUUAUUACAAACCAAUGUACCUUAAUUUAGUAGUAGUAUUAAUUAUAAUAUAGCUUGUCUCGAAUCAAAUAAAAUAAGGAAGAGAUGUGGUGUACUACUAUACAAAUAAAGAGUGUGCGCUAUGGCAACACUGACUAGUACGGCGCGGUGGGGAGUCAGUCGUAGUCGGGCCGCCACACGGGACGGACGUCAGUGCUUGCACUAGCUUACACAGUGAACAUAUAUCAGUGUUUUAUUUAA
Molecule: long non-coding RNA, 2672 nt
Organism: Ostrinia furnacalis (Asian corn borer)
Lineage: Eukaryota; Metazoa; Arthropoda; Insecta; Lepidoptera; Crambidae
Exons: 2
Source: RefSeq, a predicted model, not a curated record